RNAcentral lists this ribosomal RNA (459 nucleotides) under uncultured bacterium. RNAcentral describes it as "partial 16S ribosomal RNA". It matches the Rfam family "Bacterial small subunit ribosomal RNA", at positions 338 to 795 of the family's 1533-position model. The record is from RNAcentral.
UCUACGGGUGGCUGCAGUGAGGAAUAUUGGUCAAUGGCCGAGAGGCUGAACCAGCCAAGUCGCGUGAGGGAAGACGGCCCUACGGGUUGUAAACCUCUUUUGUCGGGGAGCAAAGCGAACCACGUGUGGUUCAUUGAGAGUACCCGAAGAAAAAGCAUCGGCUAACUCCGUGCCAGCAGCCGCGGUAAUACGGAGGAUGCGAGCGUUAGCCGGAUUUAUUGGGUUUAAAGGGUGCGCAGGCUGAGGUGCAAGUCAGCGGUCAAAUUGCGGGGAUAAACCCCGUACUGCCGUUGAAACUGCAUCCCUUGAGUGCGCGAGAGGUAUGCGGAAUGCGUGGUGUAGCGGUGAAAUGCAUAGAUAUCACGCAGAACUCCGAUUGCGAAGGCAGCAUACCGGCGCGCAACUGACGCUCAUGCACGAAAGCGUGGGUAUCGAACAGGAUUAGAUACCCUUGUAGUC